This is a long non-coding RNA of Diprion similis, 167 nucleotides long. RefSeq lists it as uncharacterized. The record is from RefSeq and is a predicted model, not a curated record. The transcript has 3 exons. Lineage: Eukaryota; Metazoa; Arthropoda; Insecta; Hymenoptera; Diprionidae.
GCGCUUUAAUUCGCAAUGUGUAUUUUCAAUUAACCAUCGCUGUUUCGUUCGAUCGUAUCUAGUCGGGGUGCAUGCGGGAAAUUCUCGUAGACAUGGCAAAAUACGAUACAGACAAAACUCUGCUUAUUCAUUCCCCGAAUAAUCGAGGAUUGUAUUCUUUUAUUUAU